RNAcentral lists this transfer RNA (71 nucleotides) under Trametes sanguinea. RNAcentral's name for it is "tRNA-Gly". The record is from RNAcentral. Lineage: Eukaryota; Fungi; Basidiomycota; Agaricomycetes; Polyporales; Polyporaceae.
GCAUUAAUGGGGUAGUGGUAACCUGGGUCGUUGCCAUCGACCCACCGGGGGUUGGAUUCCCCCUUAACGCA